AAGAGGGGGUUGGGGGAAGUCGAAGAGGGCAAAAAUGGGAUAAAUGGUGGCAGAAAGAAACUUGACUUUGGGUGGUGAGCAUACAAUGCAGUAUACGAAUAAUGGAUUAUAGAAUUGUACACCUGAAAUCUCUACAUUUUUAUUAAAUAAUGUCACCCCAAUAUACUCAAUUAAUAAAGAGA
Molecule: long non-coding RNA, 182 nt
Organism: Phyllostomus discolor (pale spear-nosed bat)
Lineage: Eukaryota; Metazoa; Chordata; Mammalia; Chiroptera; Phyllostomidae
Exons: 3
Source: RefSeq, a predicted model, not a curated record